This 470-nucleotide ribosomal RNA is filed under the name Bacteroidetes bacterium oral taxon 272. RNAcentral describes it as "bacterial SSU rRNA". It matches the Rfam family "Bacterial small subunit ribosomal RNA", at positions 28 to 488 of the family's 1533-position model. Lineage: Bacteria; Pseudomonadati; Bacteroidota. The record is from RNAcentral.
GAUGAACGCUAGCUACAGGCUUAACACAUGCAAGUCGUGGGGCAUCAUGAUGUAGUAAUACAUUGAUGGCGACCGGCGCACGGGUGAGUAACGCGUAUCCAACCUACCCUCCACUCAAGUAUAGGCUUCCGAAAGGGAGAUUAAUCCUUGAUAUCGUCAUUCUCUCUCCUGUUAGAAUGAUAAAAGGACAUCGUUUCGGUAGAGGAUGGGGAUGCGUUCCAUUAGGUAGUAGGCGGUUUAACAGGCCACCUAGCCGAUGAUGGAUAGGGGUUCUGAGAGGAAUAUCCCCCACACUGGUACUGAGAUACGGACCAGACUCCUACGGGAGGCAGCAGUGAGGAAUAUUGGUCAAUGGGCGCAAGCCUGAACCAGCCAUGUAGCGUGAAGGAUGACGGUUUUUUUGAUUGUAAACUUCUUUUCUGUGCGAUUAAAGUGUGGCAUUUAUGCCAUAAUGCAGUAUUUCAGGAAAG